GUUCUAACGUGGGCCCGUUACCCGGGUUGCGGACAGUGUCUGGUGGGUAGUUUGACUGGGGCGGUCUCCUCCUAAAGAGUAACGGAGGAGCACGAAGGUUGGCUAAUCCUGGUCGGACAUCAGGAGGUUAGUGCAAUGGCAUAAGCCAGCUUGACUGCGAGCGUGACGGCGCGAGCAGGUGCGAAAGCAGGUCAUAGUGAUCCGGUGGUUCUGAAUGGAAGGGCCAUCGCUCAACGGAUAAAAGGUACUCCGGGGAUAACAGGCUGAUACCGCCCAAGAGUUCAUAUCGACGGCGGUGUUUGGCACCUCGAUGUCGGCUCAUCACAUCCUGGGGCUGAAGUAGGUCCCAAGGGUAUGGCUGUUCGCCAUUUAAAGUGGUACGCGAGCUGGGUUUAGAACGUCGUGAGACAGUUCGGUCCCUAUCUGCCGUGGGCGCUGGAGAACUGAGGGGGGCUGCUCCUAGUACGAGAGGACCGGAGUGGACGCAUCACUGGUGUUCGGGUUGUCAUGCCAAUGGCACUGCCCGGUAGCUAAAUGCGGAAGAGAUAAGUGCUGAAAGCAUCUAAGCACGAAACUUGCCCCGAGAUGAGUUCUCCCUGAGACUUAGAGUCUCCUGAAGGAACGUUGAAGACGACGACGUUGAUAGGCCGGGUGUGUAAGCGCAGCGAUGCGUUGAGCUAACCGGUACUAAUGAACCGUGAGGCUUAACCUUACA
Molecule: ribosomal RNA, 715 nt
Filed under: Salmonella enterica subsp. enterica serovar Typhimurium
Lineage: Bacteria; Pseudomonadati; Pseudomonadota; Gammaproteobacteria; Enterobacterales; Enterobacteriaceae
Description: partial 23S ribosomal RNA
Rfam family: Bacterial large subunit ribosomal RNA
Source: RNAcentral